CCAAGUUGAAUGCAAAAUAUCUAUUCCAAUUUGAUUUUAUGAAUAUCCAACAAAAAAAAUUGCAAUUUUGAACAGGGCCGUAUAUAUUCAUGUAUGGAGCAGCGGGCAAAUCCUACGCCCAAUGAAAAUCACUAUGUUUUUGUAUAUAUUGAUUAUAUUGAUUAUAUUUGUACUGUUAGCGGGCUUACAGCCUUUGUAUUAUGUGGGCUUACCUAAUUUGUACUAUUGGGCCAGGCGACCCAUAACCCGAACGGGUCAAAACUUCAUAAUAUAUAAAGAGGACACCGCCCAUGCGGUGGGGGAUCCAAC
This 309-nucleotide long non-coding RNA is filed under the name Lotus japonicus. RNAcentral's name for it is "long non-coding RNA (LJAP_LNC001774)". Lineage: Eukaryota; Viridiplantae; Streptophyta; Magnoliopsida; Fabales; Fabaceae. The record is from RNAcentral.